This is a long non-coding RNA of Trifolium pratense (red clover), 1848 nucleotides long. RefSeq lists it as uncharacterized. The transcript has 6 exons. The record is from RefSeq and is a predicted model, not a curated record. Lineage: Eukaryota; Viridiplantae; Streptophyta; Magnoliopsida; Fabales; Fabaceae.
UUCCGUCACUAAUGUAGAUUUUAGAUUUUGAACUUGAUGAAUGUUAUUAUAACUUUAGUCACAAAAAAGAAAAUCGCACGGAAACCCUUCUCAGAUCAAAUUUUCACAAACACGUCCUUUGUUCGUCGAUUUCAUCUCUCCGAAACCCUUUCUUCAUCGAUAAAUUUUCAGAUGAAUUCUUCAUCGCGUUCUCACCGUUUCCAUCUCUCAGAUCAAAUUCUUCAUCGAUUUCAGUAAACAUUACCGAUUUCACAAAGCUUCUUCGUCGAUUUCAGUAGCCAUUACCGAUUUCACAAAGCUUCUUCGUCGAUUUCAUCUCUCAGAUCGCGGUGAAGAUCGAAAUUGCUCUCAAAUCGAAAUCACACAUAACUUCAGUAACCUUUCUCAGAUCAAAUUUUCACAAAGCUUCUUCGUCAAUUUCACAAAGCUUCUUCAUCGAUUUCACCUCUCAGAUCACAGUGAAGAUGGAAUUUGCUCUUAGAUCGCUCGCUUUCCAUUCCAAUUGAUCUCAAAUGAAAUUGAAUUGACUUUGCUGAAGGUUGGAUCAGAAAAUAAGCAGAGAUUCCAAAUGUUUUGACAUACGUCUUGUGCAUAUAUUAAUAACUAGUAUUGAUCUCAUGGACUUGGACUAGAUGCAAAAAAGAAAAAUCCAAAAAGUGAUGGUUCAAUGUGCUAAGCCCAUCAGGCUAUGUGGGCUGAGAGUACAACAACCUAAAAUGUAUACUAGCAUUUUGAUUAGUUUGGUUACUCUAGAAGCAAUUAGAAGAUAAAUAAUAAUUCUAUCACUAGCCAUUGAGAUGGUGAUAUUUAGAUACUCUUUAAUUACUACGAUUAUGGGGUUAUUUAUUGUUAUUUGUAUUGUGUUUCUGUUGAUGAACAAGUUGGACUUCAGACAUGAUGAAAGAAAAAAAAGGGAAAAAAAGACAUAAGAAUUGGAGAACAAAAGAAAAAUAGGUUUAGUACUAGUGAUGGUGACCAUAGAUUUGGAUAAUUGGAAUAAGAAGAAAGGUGAGUACAAUGUUACUGAAAGAAGCAAGAAUGUUGAUAGAAUAAGGCCAAGGCUUGUUUUGCAACCACGUUCGGUGAAAAUCAAAAUGUUCCUACUGCUGCUGUUUUUUGGAAUGUAGCCAAGCCUACGGGUGCAAAUCUACUUGGUGAGGCAAGGCCAAUGGAGCAGGUUUUGGCAGAGAAAGGUCUGAAUCAGAAGGUUUUACCAUCUGAUGAUGGACGUUCAGAAAGUACCAUAAACUACCAAUGUCAGAUUGAAAUUUUCAAGAGAUAUUUGGGAACCAGACUCUUCAACUCCUCCCCAUUGGACCUAAUCUCUGCACAUAUCAGCCAGCCGUUGUUAAUCGCCAAGGGGUAGAGUUAGAACUGUCCAAUUAUACUAAAACAAGAGAGCUUUAUUUGAGAUAAGUCAAGCCUAGGAUAGACUUACAGAGUUGCUCUAGAAUGUUUAUGCAAGUUAUCCACAGUACAUGGAAGUUGUGAGGAUGAUCCAUUCUACUGUUGAUGGAGGUGAAGGUGAUGUGGGACAGCGUAUCUGUCACCCUUUUUCUCAGGUUACACAAUUGAAGACGAAUGAGAAAUUGAUUUGUGCAUUAGAUGGAGAGUCGCUUUUAGCUAUGGAGGAGUUGCGCGUGUUCGGCUUGAGAGGACCACAUUUGCUUAGGGAGUUAUUAUUUGGCCUUUGAGGUUCCUGGGACUAGUAAAUUCUUCUUUUUUUUUUUGACAAAAAGGACUAGUAAAUUCUUAGUUAAGUAAAUAGUAUAUUUUUAUGUAUUUUAUUGAAUAAUAUGUGAUACUUAUGAAUGCAAUUAAAUUUAUAUUAAGUUUUUUUUAAAAAAA